UUGCUUUAACAGCACAUAUACUAAAACUGGAAUGAUACAGAUAAGAUUAGCAUAAGUUCCUGUGUAAGGAUGACAUGCAAAUAAAUGAAGCAUUCCAUAUUUUU
Nomascus leucogenys (northern white-cheeked gibbon) is the source of this 104-nucleotide small nuclear RNA. NCBI's taxonomy places the organism in Eukaryota, Metazoa, Chordata, Mammalia, Primates, Hylobatidae. The record is from Ensembl.